UUUUCACUGUGAUUUUUUUUAUGGUUGCUUAGGGGUCUUUUCAAUGAAUCCUUCUCCUUGCUGCUUACUGAUUUUAUAUGGGGGAAAUUAGGUUGUUUUUUUCAUUGUUAUGAUCAUAUUCCUACUAAUUGUUAUGAUCAUUGUCUUACCAAAAUCAAUGAUUCUGCUCUAUACAUACUGUCUUCUUUUAACAUUUUCU
This 199-nucleotide long non-coding RNA is filed under the name Lathyrus oleraceus (garden pea). Its description in RNAcentral is "Pisum sativum (pea) long non-coding RNA (PSAT_LNC027068)". Lineage: Eukaryota; Viridiplantae; Streptophyta; Magnoliopsida; Fabales; Fabaceae. The record is from RNAcentral.